Molecule: ribosomal RNA, 253 nt
Filed under: uncultured bacterium
Lineage: Bacteria
Description: partial 16S ribosomal RNA
Rfam family: Bacterial small subunit ribosomal RNA
Source: RNAcentral
GACAGAGGGUGCAAACGUUGCUCGGAAUCACUAAACGUAAAAAACGUGUAGGCGGGAAGGAUAGUCAGAUGUGAAAUCCCUGGGCUCAACCCAGGAACUGCAUUUGAAACUCCCUUUCUUAAAUGUCGGAGAGGAAAGUGGAAUUCCUAAUGUAGAGGUGAAAUUCGUAGAUAUCAGAAAAAACACCGGUGGCGAAGGCGGCUUUCUGGACGACAACUGACGCUAAGACACGAAAACGUGAAAAGCAAACAAA